Molecule: long non-coding RNA, 343 nt
Filed under: Dromaius novaehollandiae (emu)
Lineage: Eukaryota; Metazoa; Chordata; Aves; Casuariiformes; Dromaiidae
Description: lncRNA (ENSDNVG00000015851.1)
Source: RNAcentral
ACCAGUAAUUUCCACUCUUCCUGGGGAGAUCUAGUUUUUCAGAUGAAGGUAUUUUCAUGAUGCUGGCUGUUAAGUAUAGGAUGCAUGAAAGUUGUAUGAUGCUUGAGAGCCAGAGGCCCUGAAGUAAGGCACCACAGUGUAUGGUGGGCUGUUCAAGAGAAGGUCAUGUUAGUCCAGUAGAAGUGUCAGCAGCAAGACCAUACCUGGUAUGAUUAUUCAAGGCUUAAUUUCUGAGUGUUCGGCCUGCGUGUGUUAUUUAUGUGAACGGUAGAGUCAUGUAGCAAUUAGAGAAACAAUUAAAUAAGUCUAUCUAAUGUGAUUGGAAGUGAAAGCAAAACAAACU